RNAcentral lists this ribosomal RNA (1369 nucleotides) under uncultured bacterium. RNAcentral's name for it is "bacterial SSU rRNA". It matches the Rfam family "Bacterial small subunit ribosomal RNA", at positions 28 to 1381 of the family's 1533-position model. The record is from RNAcentral.
GACGAACGCUGGCGGCGUGCCUAAUACAUGCAAGUAGAACGCUGAAGAGAGGAGCUUGCUCUUCUUGGAUGAGUUGCGAACGGGUGAGUAACGCGUAGGUAACCUGCCUUGUAGCGGGGGAUAACUAUUGGAAACGAUAGCUAAUACCGCAUAACAAUGGAUGACACAUGUCAUUUAUUUGAAAGGGGCAAAUGCUCCACUACAAGAUGGACCUGCGUUGUAUUAGCUAGUAGGUGAGGUAACGGCUCACCUAGGCGACGAUACAUAGCCGACCUGAGAGGGUGAUCGGCCACACUGGGACUGAGACACGGCCCAGACUCCUACGGGAGGCAGCAGUAGGGAAUCUUCGGCAAUGGGGGCAACCCUGACCGAGCAACGCCGCGUGAGUGAAGAAGGUUUUCGGAUCGUAAAGCUCUGUUGUAAGUCAAGAACGAGUGUGAGAGUGGAAAGUUCACACUGUGACGGUAGCUUACCAGAAAGGGACGGCUAACUACGUGCCAGCAGCCGCGGUAAUACGUAGGUCCCGAGCGUUGUCCGGAUUUAUUGGGCGUAAAGCGAGCGCAGGCGGUUUGAUAAGUCUGAAGUUAAAGGCUGUGGCUCAACCAUAGUUCGCUUUGGAAACUGUCAAACUUGAGUGCAGAAGGGGAGAGUGGAAUUCCAUGUGUAGCGGUGAAAUGCGUAGAUAUAUGGAGGAACACCGGUGGCGAAAGCGGCUCUCUGGUCUGUAACUGACGCUGAGGCUCGAAAGCGUGGGGAGCGAACAGGAUUAGAUACCCUGGUAGUCCACGCCGUAAACGAUGAGUGCUAGGUGUUGGAUCCUUUCCGGGAUUCAGUGCCGCAGCUAACGCAUUAAGCACUCCGCCUGGGGAGUACGACCGCAAGGUUGAAACUCAAAGGAAUUGACGGGGGCCCGCACAAGCGGUGGAGCAUGUGGUUUAAUUCGAAGCAACGCGAAGAACCUUACCAGGUCUUGACAUCCCGAUGCUAUUUCUAGAGAUAGAAAGUUACUUCGGUACAUCGGUGACAGGUGGUGCAUGGUUGUCGUCAGCUCGUGUCGUGAGAUGUUGGGUUAAGUCCCGCAACGAGCGCAACCCCUAUUGUUAGUUGCCAUCAUUCAGUUGGGCACUCUAGCGAGACUGCCGGUAAUAAACCGGAGGAAGGUGGGGAUGACGUCAAAUCAUCAUGCCCCUUAUGACCUGGGCUACACACGUGCUACAAUGGUUGGUACAACGAGUUGCGAGUCGGUGACGGCAAGCUAAUCUCUUAAAGCCAAUCUCAGUUCGGAUUGUAGGCUGCAACUCGCCUACAUGAAGUCGGAAUCGCUAAUAAUCGCGGAUCAGCACGCCGCGGUGAAUACGUUCCCGGGCCU